GACCCGUAAUCCGGGUUGCGGACAGUGUCUGGUGGGUAGUUUGACUGGGGCGGUCUCCUCCUAAAGAGUAACGGAGGAGCACGAAGGUUGGCUAAUCCUGGUCGGACAUCAGGAGGUUAGUGCAAUGGCAUAAGCCAGCUUGACUGCGAGCGUGACGGCGCGAGCAGGUGCGAAAGCAGGUCAUAGUGAUCCGGUGGUUCUGAAUGGAAGGGCCAUCGCUCAACGGAUAAAAGGUACUCCGGGGAUAACAGGCUGAUACCGCCCAAGAGUUCAUAUCGACGGCGGUGUUUGGCACCUCGAUGUCGGCUCAUCACAUCCUGGGGCUGAAGUAGGUCCCAAGGGUAUGGCUGUUCGCCAUUUAAAGUGGUACGCGAGCUGGGUUUAGAACGUCGUGAGACAGUUCGGUCCCUAUCUGCCGUGGGCGCUGGAGAAUUGAGGGGGGCUGCUCCUAGUACGAGAGGACCGGAGUGGACGCAUCACUGGUGUUCGGGUUGUCAUGCCAAUGGCACUGCCCGGUAGCUAAAUGCGGA
Molecule: ribosomal RNA, 530 nt
Filed under: Escherichia coli
Lineage: Bacteria; Pseudomonadati; Pseudomonadota; Gammaproteobacteria; Enterobacterales; Enterobacteriaceae
Description: partial 23S ribosomal RNA
Rfam family: Bacterial large subunit ribosomal RNA
Source: RNAcentral